Molecule: ribosomal RNA, 253 nt
Filed under: uncultured bacterium
Lineage: Bacteria
Description: partial 16S ribosomal RNA
Rfam family: Bacterial small subunit ribosomal RNA
Source: RNAcentral
UACGUAGGGUCCGAGCGUUGUCCGGAUUUAUUGGGCGUAAAGCGCGUGUAGGCGGCUUAGCAAGUCGGGCGUGAAAGCCCUCGGCUCAACCGAGGAAGUGCACCCGAAACUGCUGAGCUUGAGUGCCGGAGAGGAUGGCGGAAUUCCCCAAGUAGAGGUGAAAUUCGUAGAUAUGGGGAGGAACACCGGUGGCGAAGGCGGCCAUCUGGACGGUAACUGACGCUGAGACGCGAAAGCGUGGGGAGCAAACAGG